GUGGGGAAUAUUGGACAAUGGGCGCAAGCCUGAUCCAGCCAUGCCGCGUGAGUGAUGAAGGCCUUAGGGUUGUAAAGCUCUUUCGCCCGCGAAGAUAAUGACGGUAGCGGGAGAAGAAGCCCCGGCUAACUUCGUGCCAGCAGCCGCGGUAAUACGAAGGGGGCUAGCGUUGUUCGGAAUCACUGGGCGUAAAGCGCACGUAGGCGGACGUUUAAGUCAGAGGUGAAAGCCUGGAGCUCAACUUCAGAACUGCCUUUGAUACUGAACGUCUCGAGUCCGGGAGAGGUGAGUGGAACUGCUAGUGUAGAGGUGAAAUUCGUAGAUAUUAGCAAGAACACCAGUGGCGAAGGCGGCUCACUGGCCCGGUACUGACGCUGAGGUGCGAAAGCGUGGGGAGCAAACAGGAUUAGAAACCCCGGUAGUCC
RNAcentral lists this ribosomal RNA (425 nucleotides) under uncultured bacterium. RNAcentral describes it as "partial 16S ribosomal RNA". It matches the Rfam family "Bacterial small subunit ribosomal RNA", at positions 354 to 796 of the family's 1533-position model. The record is from RNAcentral.